AUGGACAGGCUGAGGAGCGUGGUGCUGCGCAGGUGCAAGAGCCUGUCGCGGGCGAGGAGCAGGCGGUCGUCGCCCAGCUCCUACAGCAACCUCCGCUCCAUGUCGGCUAGGGACGACGUCGCCGGAGAAGAUAGCCAGGCCGCGGCCGAGGGGCCGUCGGCGGUGGUGUUCGUGGGCAGCUCGCGGCGGCGGUACGUCAUCAGCGCCAGGCACCUCCGCCACCCGCUGAUCGCCGCGCUCAUCGACGGCGACGCCGGCGAUGGCGACGUGAGGAAUAGCAAGGAGCCGGUGGCCGUGAGGUGCGAGGUCGUGCUGUUCGACCACCUGCUGUGGAUGCUCGACAACGCCGUCGACCUGCGCGCCGGCGCCGGCGGCGAGGAAGACGCCGUCAGGGAGCUGGCCCAGCUCUACGCCACGUGCUAA
This 423-nucleotide ribosomal RNA is filed under the name Triticum aestivum (bread wheat). RNAcentral describes it as "partial small subunit ribosomal RNA". The record is from RNAcentral. Lineage: Eukaryota; Viridiplantae; Streptophyta; Magnoliopsida; Poales; Poaceae.